AGUGAACGCUGGCGGUAGGCCUAACACAUGCAAGUCGAACGGCAGCACAGUAAGAUCUUGCUCUUACGGGUGGCGAGUGGCGGACGGGUGAGGAAUACAUCGGAAUCUACUUUUUCGUGGGGGAUAACGUAGGGAAACUUACGCUAAUACCGCAUACGACCUACGGGUGAAAGCAGGGGAUCUUCGGACCUUGCGCGAUUGAAUGAGCCGAUGUCGUAUUAGCUAGUUGGCUGGGUAAAGGCCCACCAAGGCGACGAUCCGUAGCUGGUCUGAGAGGAUGAUCAGCCACACUGGAACUGAGACACGGUCCAGACUCCUACGGGAGGCAGCAGUGGGGAAUAUUGGCCAAUGGGCGCAAGCCUGAUCCAGCCAUGCCGCGUGGGUGAAGAAGGCCUUCGGGUUGUAAAGCCCUUUUGUUGGGAAAGAACAGCAGCGGGUUUAUCCCCCGCUGUUCUGACGGUACCCAAAGAGUAAGCACCGGCUAACUUCGUG
RNAcentral lists this ribosomal RNA (492 nucleotides) under uncultured bacterium. RNAcentral's name for it is "partial 16S ribosomal RNA". It matches the Rfam family "Bacterial small subunit ribosomal RNA", at positions 29 to 507 of the family's 1533-position model. The record is from RNAcentral.